UCUUGAUUAGGCAGGACAUACACUAAAAUUGAAAUGUUAUAUAGAAGAUUAUCAUGAUUCCUGCAAGAAAAUAACAGGCAAAUUUUUGAAGUGUUCCAUAUUUUU
Molecule: small nuclear RNA, 105 nt
Organism: Rattus norvegicus (Norway rat)
Lineage: Eukaryota; Metazoa; Chordata; Mammalia; Rodentia; Muridae
Source: Ensembl